This 253-nucleotide ribosomal RNA is filed under the name uncultured bacterium. RNAcentral's name for it is "partial 16S ribosomal RNA". It matches the Rfam family "Bacterial small subunit ribosomal RNA", at positions 524 to 776 of the family's 1533-position model. The record is from RNAcentral.
UACGAAGGGUGCAAACGUUGCUCGGAAUUAUUGGGCGUAAAGCGCACGUAGGCGGCAUUGCAAGUCGGAUGUGAAAUCUUAUGGCUUAACCAUAAAAGUGCAUCCGAAACUGCAGUGCUUGAGUACUUAAGAGGAUCGCGGAAUUCCCGGUGUAGAGGUGAAAUGCGUAGAGAUCGGGAGGAAGGCCGGUGGCGAAGGCGGCGCUCUGGAACAUUUCUGACGCUGAGGCUCGAAAGCGUGGGGAGCAAACAGG